RNAcentral lists this ribosomal RNA (305 nucleotides) under uncultured bacterium. Its description in RNAcentral is "bacterial SSU rRNA". It matches the Rfam family "Bacterial small subunit ribosomal RNA", at positions 338 to 635 of the family's 1533-position model. The record is from RNAcentral.
CCUACGGGGCGCAGCAGUAGGGAAUCUUCCACAAUGGACGAAAGUCUGAUGGAGCAACGCCGCGUGAGUGAAGAAGGGUUUCGGCUCGUAAAGCUCUGUUGGUAGUGAGGAAAGAUAGAGGUAGUAACUGGCCUUUAUUUGACGGUAAUUACUUAGAAAGUCACGGCUAACUACGUGCCAGCAGCCGCGGUAAUACGUAGGUGGCAAGCGUUGUCCGGAUUUAUUGGGCGUAAAGCGAGUGCAGGCGGGACAAUAAGUCUGAUGUGAAAGGCUUCGGGUCAACCGGGGAAAUGCAUCAGAAACUG